AACGAACGCUGGCGGCAUGCCUAACACAUGCAAGUCGAACGAUUGCCUUCGGGUGAUAGUGGCGCACGGGUGCGUAACGCGUGGGAAUCUGCCCUUAGGUUCGGAAUAACAGCUGGAAACGGCUGCUAAUACCGGAUGAUAUCGCGAGAUCAAAGAUUUAUCGCCUGAGGAUGAGCCCGCGUUGGAUUAGGUAGUUGGUGGGGUAAAGGCCUACCAAGCCGACGAUCCAUAGCUGGUCUGAGAGGAUGAUCAGCCACACUGGGACUGAGACACGGCCCAGACUCCUACGGGAGGCAGCAGUGGGGAAUAUUGGACACUGGGCGCAAGCCUGAUCCAGCAAUGCCGCGUGAGUGAUGAAGGCCCUAGGGUUGUAAAGCUCUUUUACCCGGGAAGAUAAUGACUGUACCGGGAGAAUAAGCCCCGGCUAACUCCGU
Molecule: ribosomal RNA, 434 nt
Filed under: uncultured bacterium
Lineage: Bacteria
Description: partial 16S ribosomal RNA
Rfam family: Bacterial small subunit ribosomal RNA
Source: RNAcentral